GGGAUUGCCUUAGUAACUGCGAGUGAAGCGGCAAAAGCUCAGAUUUGAAACCUGCUAUCUUCGGUAGCCGGAUUGUAAUCUGGAGAGACAUCUUCUGGCGGGCAGCCAGUCUAAGUUCCUUGGAACAGGACGUCGGAGAGGGUGAGAAUCCCGUAUCUGGCUGGCCCGACCCGCCUUGUGAAGUGUCUUCGACGAGUCGAGUUGUUUGGGAAUGCAGCUCAAAAUGGGUGGUAAAUUUCAUCUAAAGCUAAAUAUUGGCGAGAGACCGAUAGCGCACAAGUAGAGUGAUCGAAAGAUGAAAAGCACUUUGAAAAGAGAGUCAAAAAGUACGUGAAAUUGUUGAAAGGGAAGCGCUUGAGACCAGACUCGGGCUUAGGUGAUCAGCGGUGCUUUUGCUCCGUGCACUCGCCUAUGCCCGGGCCAGCAUCGGUUGCGGCGGUGGGAUAAAGGUCUGGGGAAUGUGGCUCCUCCCGGGGAGUGUUAUAGCCUCAGGCGCAAUGCCACCUGCUGCGACCGAGGACCGCGCUUCGGCUAGGAUGCUGGCGUAAUGGUCUUCAGCGACCCGUCUUGAAACACGGACCAAGGAGUCUAACAUCUAUGCGAGUGUUCGGGUGUAAAACCCCUGCGCGUAAUGAAAGUGAACGGAGGUGGGAACCCUUCGCGGGGUGCACCAUCGACCGAUCCUGAUGUCUUCGGAUGGAUUUGAGUAGGAGCAUAGCUGUUGGGACCCGAAAGA
Molecule: ribosomal RNA, 736 nt
Filed under: Phillipsia olivacea
Lineage: Eukaryota; Fungi; Ascomycota; Pezizomycetes; Pezizales; Sarcoscyphaceae
Description: eukaryotic LSU rRNA
Rfam family: Eukaryotic large subunit ribosomal RNA
Source: RNAcentral